AUGAACUUGGGGUAUGACAAGCACCUGUUUUUACUAGAUCUGAAUAGCAUGGACAUGUCACGAACCUCAUCUUUUUUUCAGUCUGUUCUGCAUGCAUGGAGCACUGUGUUAGCAGUGAACAGGGACUGUUCCUGCUUUUAUGGGAGUGCCUUGGAGGAACCUCUCCUCUUCAAUCCCUUGGUGCAGUGCAAAAGUUUUUCAUCUGCUAGCGUGCGAGGGCUGCUAAUAAGUGCUGGGCUGACAAGGAUGGCAGGAUUAACAUCAGCAGGGAGCUGGAAAUUUCACACACUGUCUGACAAAACUGGGAUCAAGUCAGUGCAUUUUUUAGAGAGACUGAUUGAGGAAGUGAGGGCAGGUCUACCUGGGCCUUCCAGAGAGGCCUUGGGAGUAACAUCAGUUGGGGACCUGCCGGCCUUGAUGGGGCCUGCUUUCCCCUCAUUGGCCAUUCGAGCUGCUGUGGAGGAGCAGGGAAAAGAGGAUGGAGUCCUGCUAUCAUUGAAGACACCAGAACUAACAGACUUUGCAUCAACGCCAAGAAAAGAUCUUUACCUGGUGACUAUGAAGGUACUUAACAAACCCUCCCUAGAUGGUGUGCCAGAGUCGAAGUGGUCGGGUGUGUUGCCACCAGGGUCCUCCCCCAGGGUCAGUUGGAGAUCCCUGUAUAAGCCUCCUGUAGAGAAGCGUACUGCAGAUCUACAGUGGAGGAUUAUACAUGGGGCCGUGGCUACAAACAGACAUGUGGCACGUUUUGAUAGGAGGGUGAGCGCUCAGGAGGACCUGCAGCAUCUUUGGCUCGGUUGUCCUGGACUGAGGCCUCUACUCUCUCUGCUGCAGCAGUGGGUUGUGGGAAUUGAGCAGGUCCUGGAUAAUAAAGGUUUUAUCUUUGGACCUGUUUACAGCGCAUCACAAGGUAAACACACAUGCUUGGUCAACUUGCUCAUUGGUCAGGCAAAGAUGAGUAUUUGGCUCACAAGGAGAAAUGAAAUGAAAGGGACUGGUUGUAUCGCUGAGCUCCUGUUCAGGAAGUUGGUGACGGCACGUGUGAAGGUCGAAUUUGGUUAUUAUAAACUAGUGUCAGACCUCGAGAGCUUUGUUUUGGUUUGGGGAUAUACAGUAAUGGAGUUUUGUGUUCAGUGUUUCAAGACCUUCUUGUUCUGA
This 1158-nucleotide long non-coding RNA is filed under the name Betta splendens (Siamese fighting fish). RNAcentral's name for it is "lncRNA (ENSBSLG00000023027.1)". Lineage: Eukaryota; Metazoa; Chordata; Actinopteri; Anabantiformes; Osphronemidae. The record is from RNAcentral.